GUAAGUCCAAAAGAUACCUCAGAUGCUGCUACCAAAGUUGCUUCCAUAGUAACCUUGCUGAGAUCAAGAUUGGAAAAAAGCUGAAAAUCAAACUCCUACAGCUCAAGAAGCCAUAGUUAAAAGCCCCUUCUGAAGCCUCUGUAAUUUCAUCCCGAAAGGAAUAUGAAAUCUUAUAAUCUUCAAUAGCCCUCGAAAUGUGCUCCUUAUCUUUAUCGAGCUGCUUCUGAUA
This 229-nucleotide long non-coding RNA is filed under the name Elaeis guineensis (African oil palm). RNAcentral's name for it is "long non-coding RNA (EGUI_LNC062850)". The record is from RNAcentral. Lineage: Eukaryota; Viridiplantae; Streptophyta; Magnoliopsida; Arecales; Arecaceae.